GAUGAACGCUGGCGGCGUGCCUAAUACAUGCAAGUCGAGCGAACAGACGAGGAGCUUGCUCCUCUGACGUUAGCGGCGGACGGGUGAGUAACACGUGGAUAACCUACCUAUAAGACUGGGAUAACUUCGGGAAACCGGAGCUAAUACCGGAUAAUAUAUUGAACCGCAUGGUUCAAUAGUGAAAGACGGUUUUGCUGUCACUUAUAGAUGGAUCCGCGCCGCAUUAGCUAGUUGGUAGGGUAACGGCUUACCAAGGCGACGAUGCGUAGCCGACCUGAGAGGUGAACGGCCCAACCUGAACCUAGAACCCGGUCCGACCUCUACCGGGAGGAGCCGUAGGGAAUCCUUCGCAAUGGGCGAAAGCCUGACGGAGCAACGCCGCGUGAGUGAUGAAGGUCUUCGGAUCGUAAAACUCUGUUAUUAGGGAAGAGCAAAUGUGUAAGUAACUAUGCACGUCUUGACGGUACCUAAUCAGAAAGCCACGGCUAACUACGUG
RNAcentral lists this ribosomal RNA (496 nucleotides) under uncultured bacterium. RNAcentral describes it as "partial 16S ribosomal RNA". It matches the Rfam family "Bacterial small subunit ribosomal RNA", at positions 28 to 507 of the family's 1533-position model. The record is from RNAcentral.